Molecule: unclassified non-coding RNA, 220 nt
Filed under: uncultured Thelephoraceae
Lineage: Eukaryota; Fungi; Basidiomycota; Agaricomycetes; Thelephorales; Thelephoraceae
Description: sequence contains ITS2
Source: RNAcentral
ACACCUCAACUCUCACGGUUUGCCCGUGAUGAGCUUGGACUUCUGGAGGCUUUGCUGGCCUAAGGCCGGCUCCUCUCAAAUAGAUCAGCUUACCAGUGUUUGGUGGCGCCAUGGGUGUGAUAACUAUCUACGCUUGUGGCCGUCUGCCAGGUAACCUUCAGUGAUGGAGGUUUGCUGGGGCUUACAAAUGUCUCUCCCCAGUGAAGACAGCUUUUUGAAC